Molecule: small RNA, 27 nt
Filed under: Bombyx mori (domestic silkworm)
Lineage: Eukaryota; Metazoa; Arthropoda; Insecta; Lepidoptera; Bombycidae
Description: ovarian small RNA-30080
Source: RNAcentral
UCUUACUCUUCCUCAGUAAAGGCAGCC